RNAcentral lists this ribosomal RNA (468 nucleotides) under uncultured bacterium. RNAcentral's name for it is "partial 16S ribosomal RNA". It matches the Rfam family "Bacterial small subunit ribosomal RNA", at positions 28 to 507 of the family's 1533-position model. The record is from RNAcentral.
GACGAACGCUGGCGGCGUGCUUAACACAUGCAAGUCGAACGGAAAGGCCCUGCUUUUGUGGGCUGCUCGAGUGGCGAACGGGUGCGUAACACGUGUGUAACCUGCUCUUGACUUUCGGAUAACUUCAGGAAACUGGGGUUACUAUCGGACAGCAUCUGCUGUUGCAUGGUGGGGGUUGGAAAGUCUCGGCGGUUGGGGAUGGAUUCGCGGCUUAUCAGCUUGUUGGUGGGGUAGUGGCUUACCAAGGCUUUGAAGGGCACCCGGCUUGGGAGGGUGACCGGCGACAAUGCGACUGAGAGACGGACCAGACGCCUACGGGAGGCAGCGGGGGGGAGUAUGACACAAUGGGCGGAAGCGUGAGGCAGCAACGCCGGGUGCGGGAUGACGGCCUUCGGGUUAUAAACCGCUUUCGCCUGAGACGAAGUGUGAGUGACGGUAAUGGGUAAAGAAGCACCGGCUAACUACGUG